This 20-nucleotide transfer RNA is filed under the name Streptocarpus meyeri. RNAcentral describes it as "partial tRNA-Cys". RNAcentral also lists the same sequence under 2 other names. Lineage: Eukaryota; Viridiplantae; Streptophyta; Magnoliopsida; Lamiales; Gesneriaceae. The record is from RNAcentral.
GUUCAAUCCGGGUGUCGCCU